UACGUAGGGGGCAAGCGUUGUCCGGAAUUAUUGGGCGUAAAGAGCGUGUAGGCGGUCCGGUAAGUCGGCUGUGAAAGUCCAGGGCUCAACCCUGGGAUGCCGGUCGAUACUGCCGGACUAGAGUUCGGAAGAGGCGAGUGGAAUUCCCGGUGUAGCGGUGAAAUGCGCAGAUAUCGGGAGGAACACCUAUGGCGAAGGCAGCUCGCUGGGACGUUACUGACGCUGAGGCGCGAAAGCGUGGGGAGCGAACAGG
RNAcentral lists this ribosomal RNA (253 nucleotides) under uncultured bacterium. RNAcentral's name for it is "partial 16S ribosomal RNA". It matches the Rfam family "Bacterial small subunit ribosomal RNA", at positions 524 to 776 of the family's 1533-position model. The record is from RNAcentral.